This 1385-nucleotide ribosomal RNA is filed under the name metagenome. Its description in RNAcentral is "bacterial LSU rRNA". It matches the Rfam family "Bacterial large subunit ribosomal RNA", at positions 1472 to 2925 of the family's 2925-position model. The record is from RNAcentral.
ACGUGUGUGAGGAGAAGAGUUGGGCGUUGAUUGUCCCAGUCCCGCAAGGGGACGUGGAGGCCUCGGCCAAAGCGGAUUCUUUAAAUCAUGCACCAAGAAAAACUCAAAGGAAUACUAAGGCGCCCGUACCGGAAACCGACACAGGUUGGUGGGCAUAAAUGUGCCAAGGCGCGUGAGUGAAACCUCGUUAAGGAACUCGCAAUCUAGCCCCGUAACUUCGGAAGAAGGGGUGCCCACUUUUAGUGGGUCGCAGUGAAAUGGGUGUACCGACUGUUUAUCAAAAACACAGCACUCUGCUAAGUCGUAAGACAACGUAUAGGGUGUGACACGUGACCAAUGCGGAAAGAUUACGGUAAGUGGUUAGGCGCAAGCCGAAGCUACGAGCCCAAGUCCCCGUGAAUGUCGGCCGUAACUAUAACGGUCCUAAGGUAGCGAAAUUCCUUGUCGGGUAAGUUCCGACCUGCACGAAUCGUGUAACGAGUGCACCGCUGUCUCAACGAGGAGCUCAGCGAAGUUGUAAUGGCGGUGAAGAUGCCGCCUACCCGCAGCAGGACGGAAAGACCCUAUGCACCUUUACUGUACGCUGUUACUGUGUUUUCGAUUUUCAUGCUUAGCGUAAGUGGGAGACUUUGAAUCGCUUCUUUCGGGGAGCGACGAGUCGUCAAUGAAACACCACCCUUGGAAAUUGGAAACUCUAACCCUCACCCAUUAUCUGGGGAGGGGACACUGGCAGCCGGUCAGUUUUACUGGGGCGGUAUCCUCCUAAAGAGUAACGGAGGAGUACGAAGGUUGGCUCAACCUGGUUGGUAAUCAGGUGACGAGUACAUGGAUAUAAGCCAGCCUAACUGUGAGACCUACAAGUCGAGCAGAUGCGAAAGCAGGUCCAAGUGAUCCGGUGGUUGAAAGUGGAAUCGCCAUCGCUCAACGGACAAAAGGUACGCUAGGGAUAACAGGCUGAUCGAGUCCAAGAGCUCAUAUCGACGACUCGGUUUGGCACCUCGAUGUCGGCUCAUCACAUCCUGGGGCUGGAGAAGGUCCCAAGGGUCCGGCUGUUCGCCGGUUAAAGUGGUACGCGAGCUGGGUUCAGAACGUCGCGAGACAGUUCGGUCCUUAUCCGCUGUGGGCGCAGGAAAGUUGAGGGGUUUAAACCUUAGUACGAGAGGACCGGGUUUAACGAACCUCUGGUGUUCCAGUUGUCGUGUCAACGGCAGUGCUGGGCAGCUACGUUCGGAAGAGAUAAGCGCUGAAAGCAUCUAAGCGCCAAGCUCCUCCCAAGAUUGACUUUCCCUGAAGAGUCGUGGUAGACCACCACGUUGAUAGGCCAUAGGUAUAAGCGCAGUAAUGUGUUGAGCUUAGUGGUACUAAUAACUCGUUCGGCUUGAUCC